This 279-nucleotide ribosomal RNA is filed under the name uncultured bacterium. RNAcentral describes it as "partial 16S ribosomal RNA". It matches the Rfam family "Bacterial small subunit ribosomal RNA", at positions 506 to 784 of the family's 1533-position model. The record is from RNAcentral.
UGUCAGCCGCCGCGGUAAUACAGAGGGUGCAAGCGUUAAUCGGAAUUACUGGGCGUAAAGCGCACGUAGGCGGUUUGUUAAGUCAGAUGUGAAAGCCCCGGGCUCAACCUGGGAUGGUCAUUUAGAACUGGCAGACUAGAGUCUUGGAGAGGGGAGUGGAAUUCCAGGUGUAGCGGUGAAAUGCGUAGAUAUCUGGAGGAACAUCAGUGGCGAAGGCGGAUCCCUGGCCAAAGACUGACGCUCAUGUGCGAAAGUGUGGGUCGCGAACAGGAUUAGAUA